CUCAAAACAAGCGGGUGCUUCCUCAAGCAAGCAGCGCAGCUCUCCUUUCUGUGUGUUUCUCUCCUCUGGAACGCUAUUCCCCUCUCCCGCUGCCCUGCUUGCCCCGAGCAGCCUGACAAGUUUUCAGGGUUCUACAAAUCAUAGCUCUGUCCCAGCUCUUGAGCAGGCGUCCUUUACACUGCCCAGCCUUACAGUCCUCAGCAUUUACAACCUCUCUCUUUUCCAGGUUAUCAUCAUCUGUCAGAUCUGAACUUAAACAACAAGAAACAUGUCAGGCUCGGUUUCUGAGUGCCUAUACGCAGAAAGAAGAGUUGAGGAGCCCGGAAUGUUCGCCAUGCCAGCGGACUGGCUUGCUGCGAGGCAGGCGGCCGCGGCAGAGCCGUUUGGGAUGUCACCUCGGAUUCUGGGAUUCCCGCACUACUUUGCGGCUCUUCCUGCGCUUAACUGCAUCGUUCCAGAGCGCUCCUUUGAAAUGAGCGCAAAAGGCAUAAGUUUUGAGUAGCUAAACUCCUCUCCCCGAGAGCAGCAGCGCUUAGACAGACAAGCUGGGAGCGGAGAGCUUGCCUUACUCCCCGUGGGUACGCUGCCAAAGUGGCGCUUGAUCGUUAGUGGGAAAAAAAAAAAAAGACGGAGUGAUAUGGCUCAGCCCGGCGUUUGCAAGAGGAAGCAGACGAUUGCUGGUGAAGGCCCCAUGCGUCAAGCUCCGCCUGGACUACGCGGCUCCCCACCUCUGGCGGCCGCGGCUCCUGUCCCCCAGGACAUGCUCGCAGUUCCAGCCUCUAAUCCUAGUCCUCAGCUGGCGCAGGCUGGUUGAAGGAUCGCGCAACUAGGCGGAGUGUGUUGACUCCAUCCUCCAGGGGAAUUCAGAUUGGACUGAAAGGAAAAAAUUUCCCUAACCUGGGCAGCAGCAGUCUGUCGAUGAAACUGACCUUCAUGACACUGACCAGAGAUAAACCUCUUGGCAUGAGACAGCCUGACACACCAGUGAUCAUUCUGUUGGGGACCAGGGACAAGCAGCCCAGCACCACGAAACUUACCAGCGUGUACUUAAAGAGAAAACCCGAGAUGCCUAAAACAGACCGGUGCACAACAGAACACUGUUCACUGUUAACCGACCACCUGAAACCGUUCGCAGAGAGGCUACCCUGAAAUUAACCUGACUGGGUGAAAGGAACCAGAAUGAAAUCCACCUGCCUGUUAACACAGCCACUUAGCCACAGCAAGAGACUGGAGCAGAGGCUGAAGAGUGCGGCGGGGUGGAGCCGGGAGGGGGCUAGUCUCUGGGUGCUCCUGAGAACCUGACUGGUGCCGCUGCGGGGAUUGGGGGAGGGGGUUGUCCAGUGCUUUUUAAUUUACGACCGCCGCGCCCCAAGCCAUCCCAUAAAUUUGGGGGCCG
RNAcentral lists this long non-coding RNA (1396 nucleotides) under Capra hircus (goat). RNAcentral describes it as "lncRNA (ENSCHIG00000007039.1)". Lineage: Eukaryota; Metazoa; Chordata; Mammalia; Artiodactyla; Bovidae. The record is from RNAcentral.